Molecule: ribosomal RNA, 434 nt
Filed under: uncultured Allobrachymonas sp.
Lineage: Bacteria; Pseudomonadati; Pseudomonadota; Betaproteobacteria; Burkholderiales; Comamonadaceae
Description: bacterial SSU rRNA
Rfam family: Bacterial small subunit ribosomal RNA
Source: RNAcentral
GGUUUAAUUCGAUGCAACGCGAAAACCUUACCCACCUUUGACAUGGCAGGAAUCCUAAAGAGAUUUGGGAGUGCUCGAAAGAGAACCUGCACACAGGUGCUGCAUGGCUGUCGCCAGCUCGUGUCGUGAGAUGUUGGGUUAAGUCCCGCAACGAGCGCAACCCUUGCCAUUAGUUGCUACGAAAGGGCACUCUAAUGGGACUGCCGGUGACAAACCGGAGGAAGGUGGGGAUGACGUCAAGUCCUCAUGGCCCUUAUGGGUAGGGCUUCACACGUCAUACAAUGGUCGGUACAGAGGGUUGCCAACCCGCGAGGGGGAGCUAAUCCCACAAAGCCGAUCGUAGUCCGGAUCGCAGUCUGCAACUCGACUGCGUGAAGUCGGAAUCGCUAGUAAUCGUGGAUCAGCAUGUCACGGUGAAUACGUUCCCGGGUCUU